Molecule: long non-coding RNA, 300 nt
Filed under: Medicago truncatula (barrel medic)
Lineage: Eukaryota; Viridiplantae; Streptophyta; Magnoliopsida; Fabales; Fabaceae
Description: lncRNA gene38241
Source: RNAcentral
GAUAUAGUAACCGGAAAAAGUAUAUCGGAAUAAAUAUUACCUUUUUUUUUUUUCUUAAAGAAAUUCAUUUUUUAGAUUUACAAACUAUGAAAAUAGAAUAUUCAAUUUAUUGAUAGAAUAUCGACUUAAUUUUUAGAUUACAAAUAGUUAUAAAUUUAAAUACUUACUCGCUCGUUAUUAUUAUUACUGAUUUAUAAAAAAAAAGUGGAUUUAUAGGUAAAACUUAAAUGACUAUUCAUCUAUUGUAUUUUCAUGUAAAUAGGAGGAAAAAGUUCUAUGGAAAAGUGGUGGUUCAAUUCA